Molecule: unclassified non-coding RNA, 289 nt
Filed under: uncultured Cortinarius
Lineage: Eukaryota; Fungi; Basidiomycota; Agaricomycetes; Agaricales; Cortinariaceae
Description: sequence contains ITS2
Rfam family: 5.8S ribosomal RNA (bases 1-52)
Source: RNAcentral
AACGCACCUUGCGCUCCUUGGUAUUCCGAGGAGCAUGCCUGUUUGAGUGUCAUUAAUAUUAUAUAUCAAACUCCCUUGUGUGGGGUAGUUUUGGAUGUGGGGGUUGCUGGCCUCUUGAAAGAGGUCAGCUCUCCUGAAAUGCAUUAGCAGAACAGCCUGUUUUGUUCAUUGGUGUGAUAACUAUCUACGCUAUAGAACCAUGAAGGCAAGUUCAGCUUCCUAACCGUCUCCGGACAAUUUAUCAUCUAUAUGUGACCUCAAAUCAGGUAGGACUACCCGCUGAACUUAA